CUCAUUCUUCUCAUCUGAAAUUUUUCAGCUCUUCUUUCUGUUGGCUGAGGAAGGGAUUUAUCCAGGGCUACUGCAAAGGCAAGGGGAAGCAGUGAGAAGAAUUGAGCUGCUAACGACACAGAACAUGGACUCCUGAUUGAAUACCAAGGCAGUAAAUCAAUUGAGGAUCUUUGCUACCGUUCAUGAAAUGCUCCAGCUGUGCUCCGGAGGAUUAUAGUGUCAACAGAACUCUUGAUUUGAAUCACAGCCUUGCCUUCACUCAGGGGCUGUAUAUUAGUCUUGAAAAGCAGACAGUGUUUCAUCGCUCAAAGAAAAGAGAAUUGCUGAGCUGAAAAUAAAACGAUGAUGUAGGGGAGGAACACUGUGACAUGACUAAAGAAGAUGGAUAGCAGAUUUCAGCAAAAUUCUCUAGAAAAUCACACUUUUUUUCCAUUUUACAAGACUUUAGUAUUUUCUGCUGGUUCCUGGUGUAGAGGACAUUGUGAUGCUUGAUUUGAUGACUUCUGUGCAGAUCCCAUCACCACUUUCAGUUAUUUUGCAAGGGUAAGAAAAUUUGGAAACGUGGUUCACCAUUGCCUGUACUUUUUUUUAAGCCAAGAUCUAUUCUGUUUGCAACAUAUUAUGUUGUUUAAUAUACAUUAUUUUAGCAUCUUUUUACAUGUGUUUUGGGAAGGCAGAUAUAAAAGAACUUUGACUUUCUUAUUCAGACACAAUUUCUUUCUAUUGUUGGAUUAUUACAAAAAAGGUACAAAGGUGGAAGUAAAAAGGAAUAUAGUUUUUGAUAUAAAGAUGCCUUUAGAUUUUGAUCUUUAGGAAUGUAAGCAGUGCUAUACCUAUGCUUACUAGGCAUUGUAAGCUCAUCAUAUCAAUCAAUUUUAAAACUCUCUUUCACAAAACUCUUCCCUUAGCUAUGGAAGAUUCCACUAACUGGUUUUAAAAGAUCUUACAGUUACUCAGUAAAUAGCCCACAAGAAGACCUCCAUGAUAAUGUCUUCAUACGGGAUUUAUACCUGUUUCCAUUUAAUGUCUUAUUUCUCUUACAG
This 1043-nucleotide long non-coding RNA is filed under the name Gallus gallus (chicken). RNAcentral's name for it is "lncRNA (ENSGALG00010026833.1)". Lineage: Eukaryota; Metazoa; Chordata; Aves; Galliformes; Phasianidae. The record is from RNAcentral.